AGCGAACGCUGGCGGCAGGCUUAACACAUGCAAGUCGAGCGGGCCCUUCGGGGUCAGCGGCCGACGGGUGAGUAACACGUGGGAACGUACCCUUUGGUUCGGAAUAACGCUGGGAAACUAGCGCUAAUACCGGAUACGCCCUUUUGGGGAAAGGCUUGCUGCCGAAGGAUCGGCCCGCGCCUGAUUAGCUAGUUGGUGGGGUAAUGGCCUACCAAGGCGACGAUCAGUAGCUGGUCUGAGAGGAUGAUCAGCCACACUGGGACUGAGACACGGCCCAGACUCCUACGGGAGGCAGCAGUGGGGAAUAUUGGACAAUGGGCGCAAGCCUGAUCCAGCCAUGCCGCGUGAGUGAUGAAGGCCUUAGGGUUGUAAAGCUCUUUUGUCCGGGACGAUAAUGACGGUACCGGAAGAAUAAGCCCCGGCUAACUUCGUG
This 433-nucleotide ribosomal RNA is filed under the name uncultured bacterium. Its description in RNAcentral is "partial 16S ribosomal RNA". It matches the Rfam family "Bacterial small subunit ribosomal RNA", at positions 29 to 507 of the family's 1533-position model. The record is from RNAcentral.